RNAcentral lists this ribosomal RNA (375 nucleotides) under uncultured bacterium. Its description in RNAcentral is "partial 16S ribosomal RNA". It matches the Rfam family "Bacterial small subunit ribosomal RNA", at positions 355 to 722 of the family's 1533-position model. The record is from RNAcentral.
UGGGGAAUAUUGGACAAUGGGCGAAAGCCUGAUCCAGCCAUGCCGCGUGUGUGAAGAAGGUCUUCGGAUUGUAAAGCACUUUAAGUUGGGAGGAAGGGCAUUAACCUAAUACGUUAGUGUUUUGACGUUACCGACAGAAUAAGCACCGGCUAACUCUGUGCCAGCAGCCGCGGUAAUACAGAGGGUGCAAGCGUUAAUCGGAAUUACUGGGCGUAAAGCGCGCGUAGGUGGUUUGUUAAGUUGGAUGUGAAAUCCCCGGGCUAAACCUGGGAACUGCAUUCAAAACUGACUGACUAGAGUAUGGUAGAGGGUGGUGGAAUUUCCUGUGUAGCGGUGAAAUGCGUAGAUAUAGGAAGGAACACCAGUGGAGAAGGC